Molecule: small nuclear RNA, 331 nt
Filed under: Jaculus jaculus (lesser Egyptian jerboa)
Lineage: Eukaryota; Metazoa; Chordata; Mammalia; Rodentia; Dipodidae
Description: 7SK RNA (ENSJJAG00000007521.1)
Rfam family: 7SK RNA
About the family: 7SK was discovered as an abundant small nuclear RNA in the mid-70s but a possible function has only recently been suggested. Two independent studies have found that 7SK RNA binds the CDK9/cyclin T complex (known as elongation factor P-TEFb). P-TEFb activates transcription by phosphorylating the C-terminal domain of RNA polymerase II.
Source: Rfam by way of RNAcentral
GGACAUGAAGGCGAUCUGGCUGUGACGUCUGUCACCCCAUUGAUCGCCAGAGUUGAUCCGGCUGGUCUGGCUGGCUAGGCGGAUGUCGCCUCCUCCCUCACCACUCCAUGUGCAUCCCUCCCGAAGGUGCGCACUCGGUUGAAGAGGACGACCUUCCCCGAAUAGAGGAGGACUGGCCUUUGGUCAAUGGUAUACAAGCAGCUGUGCUUGCCUGCUAGAACCUCCAAACAAACUCUCAAGGUCUAUUUGUAGGAGAACAUAGGGUAGUCAAGCUUCCAAGACUCAGGACACAUCCAAAUGAGGCACUGCAUGUGGCAGGCUGCCUUUGUUU